CAGUUUUACAGGCACCAAAGGUAAGAAACACAGCAUUUAGACUUCAAUCUAAUUUUUUUUCCCACCUGUUGUGAACUUUUAAGUGAAAUAUGGAGAAUUACGUUUCCUUUGUCAGGAAUGUCUGUGUCACAACUAUGUUCCUAUAUAUCCCAGUCCUAAACUUGAUUUUCAAUUAGCUGAAUCCUUUUGUUGAUAUAAUUUUCCAAUGAAAUGCACAUUAAGUGGGGGAGGGGGAUUCACAUCUCAUGCUAAAUCAAGGGUGGCUGGCUGGUCAUGUUAUCACUUUGAUCCUGAGUUUGAAUCCAGGCUACUGCCAUCACCAGUUCUGCUUGAGGAUUGGGCUAGGACAUAAUAAUCUUUAUUUCUGAGGAAUGUCUAAAACUUGAACUUUCCUUGAAAGUAAUUUUUUUAGUAAGCUUCACUGGUGUAAUGUAUAUUUUGUUGUUAUUCACAUCUUUUAAUGGAAGGCCAUUACAAUUUUGUGUAUAAAUGCAGUUCUGUUUUCAAACAAACACAUUAUAUGACUUAAGGUUUGUCUCUUACUCAUCUAUUUAAAGACAGCAGACCUUGCAUUUAUUUGUUGUGCCAAUGCAGUAACAUAAAAUUUUAGUAAGCUUAUUGUUGGCUACGCUGUAUCCUGUGUGUCAGAAUAUAUCACAUUAUAUAAAAGAUUCAUAAUAAAAGAGCAAAUGACCAUCACAUCUCUUAAGCAAAAAAAAAUUUAUAAAGGCAAUGUGGAAUUGGCAUAGAGAACAAAAAAUAUAUCUGCUUGGCCCAGAACCUGAUUAUCAUUUGAAAUGGACAGGUCACACACAUAAAAAAAACCAAGCUGUGAUGCUGUUGGUUUAUAAAGUAGAUUAAAAAAAAACAA
This is a non-coding RNA of Biomphalaria pfeifferi, 871 nucleotides long. The record is from the annotation of a GenBank genome assembly. Lineage: Eukaryota; Metazoa; Mollusca; Gastropoda; Planorbidae.